ACUAAGGUAAACUUCCAACAGUGAUUGGACCAUCAAAAUAAACCACUACGUCAAACAUUCAAUUUUACUACGGGUCCCAAGUCCUGUACACACUAAAGAGAACUGUAUCCACGAGGAAGUAACGGCGACGGUAUACGGUCUCGGCUGUUACUUGAGGACCUACUGUCACCUUCGGUACAACAACAAAACAAACAAGGGUCGGGACUGAUACCAGAAGCUCGCUCAGGCCGUACAACAAGUAGACUGAUACAAGUAGGUCGCUCAGGUCAUACAAGUACUGUCCUCGUCCAUCAAACACUAGUGUACCUUCCUCGAACAUUUCGUCAUGACAUAAUGUACAUCUCGAACAAUGUGAACAUCUCGAACAUUUCGUCAUACCAGGAGACAUAACCUUGCCUAUCUCGAACAUAAUACACUAGACCAACGAGAAUAAAUUCAUAGUACACACAAAAACAGAGACGG
RNAcentral lists this ribosomal RNA (462 nucleotides) under Triticum aestivum (bread wheat). Its description in RNAcentral is "partial small subunit ribosomal RNA". Lineage: Eukaryota; Viridiplantae; Streptophyta; Magnoliopsida; Poales; Poaceae. The record is from RNAcentral.